UUGGUGAGGUAAUGGCUCACCAAGGCGACGACGGGUAGCCGGCCUGAGAGGGCGACCGGCCACACUGGGACUGAGACACGGCCCAGACUCCUACGGGAGGCAGCAGUGGGGAAUAUUGCACAAUGGGCGAAAGCCUGAUGCAGCGACGCCGCGUGAGGGAUGACGGCCUUCGGGUUGUAAACCUCCUUCAGCAGGGAAGAAGCGAAAGUGACGGUACCUGCAGAAGAAGCGCCGGCUAACUACGUGCCAGCAGCCGCGGUAAUACGUAGGGCGCAAGCGUUGUCCGGAAUUAUUGGGCGUAAAGAGCUCGUAGGCGGUCUGUCGCGUCGGAUGUGAAAGCCCGGGGCUUAACCCCGGGUCUGCAUUCGAUACGGGCUAGCUAGAGUGUGGUAGGGGAGAUCGGAAUUCCUGGUGUAGCGGUGAAAUGCGCAGAUAUCAGGAGGAACACCGGUGGCGAAGGCGGAUCUCUGGGCCAUUACUGACGCUGAGGAGCGAAAGCGUGGGGAGCGAACAGGAUUAGAUACCCUGGUAGUCCACGCCGUAAACGGUGGGAACUAGGUGUUGGCGACAUUCCACGUCGUCGGUGCCGCAGCUAACGCAUUAAGUUCCCCGCCUGGGGAGUACGG
RNAcentral lists this ribosomal RNA (626 nucleotides) under uncultured bacterium. Its description in RNAcentral is "bacterial SSU rRNA". It matches the Rfam family "Bacterial small subunit ribosomal RNA", at positions 249 to 885 of the family's 1533-position model. The record is from RNAcentral.